GCCCGGUUGGCACAAUUGGUCAGCGCGUGAGACUUUUAUACUUAGAGAUCUCAAGGUUGUGAGUUCGAGCCUCACAUCGGGCG
Molecule: non-coding RNA, 83 nt
Organism: Aulographum hederae CBS 113979
Lineage: Eukaryota; Fungi; Ascomycota; Dothideomycetes; Aulographales; Aulographaceae
Source: the annotation of a GenBank genome assembly